UUUCCUGUAGGUGAACCUGCGGCAAGUUCAUUA
Molecule: ribosomal RNA, 33 nt
Filed under: Pythium aphanidermatum
Lineage: Eukaryota; Oomycota; Peronosporomycetes; Pythiales; Pythiaceae
Description: partial 18S ribosomal RNA
Source: RNAcentral